UGGGCACAGAAGGAUUUGAACCUCCAACCGUCUGUUUGUAAGACAGACGCUCUACCCUUGAGCUAUGUACCC
This 72-nucleotide transfer RNA is filed under the name Coelastrum sp. F187. Its description in RNAcentral is "tRNA-Val". The record is from RNAcentral. Lineage: Eukaryota; Viridiplantae; Chlorophyta; Chlorophyceae; Sphaeropleales; Scenedesmaceae.